This 401-nucleotide ribosomal RNA is filed under the name uncultured Nitrosospira sp. RNAcentral describes it as "bacterial SSU rRNA". It matches the Rfam family "Bacterial small subunit ribosomal RNA", at positions 207 to 599 of the family's 1533-position model. Lineage: Bacteria; Pseudomonadati; Pseudomonadota; Betaproteobacteria; Nitrosomonadales; Nitrosomonadaceae. The record is from RNAcentral.
CAAGACCUUGCGCUUUUGGAGCGGCCGAUGUCUGAUUAGCUAGUUGGUGAGGUAAAGGCUUACCAAGGCGUCGAUCAGUAGCUGGUCUGAGAGGACGACCAGCCACACUGGGACUGAGACACGGCCCAGACUCCUACGGGAGGCAGCAGUGGGGAAUUUUGGACAAUGGGGGAAACCCUGAUCCAGCCAUGCCGCGUGAGUGAAGAAGGCCUUCGGGUUGUAAAGCUCUUUCAGCCGGAACGAAACGGUCACGGUUAAUACCUGUGACUACUGACGGUACCGGAAGAAGAAGCACCGGCUAACUACGUGCCAGCAGCCGCGGUAAUACGUAGGGUGCAAGCGUUAAUCGGAAUUACUGGGCGUAAAGCGUGCGCAGGCGGUUUUGUAAGUCAGAUGNAAAU